AGCUACACACCGCAGACUGGGAAUGGAUGGGGGGUAAAACAAUAGACAUUUCAAAAUGACAUUUAACAUACUGUGGCUUUAAUGACAUUUGAUAGCCAACUCAAUCAAACUAUCUAGCUAGUUAGCUAGCAAUCUUAACUGCAGCUAACGUUCGUCAACGUUACAGAGGGUUAUGAGUAUGAAUGAACUACAGUACAUUGCUGAAGCUUGAAGUUCUGGCCUCCCCUCUUGGUCUUACCCAGAAUCAGCUUACAGAACAAAGCUGCAGGCAACUGAGUUAAAACGGAAUGGCCGGCCACCUAAAGCCAUGCGCACCUUUGGAUUGCCUCCUACCUGGGAGGUCCCCUUAGAUGUCAGACCACCACUUCAAGCUGAACAAGAUGGAGCUGCUCUUCCUCCUCACGGAAGUCUUGUCUGCUCAGAUACCUCUGUAUCUUGGUUAACAACUCUACACUGCCCCCCCCCCCCAGAGUGCAAAGAACCUUGAGUGACCCUGGACAAACCCCGGUGUUCUCUGCAAAUGUCAAGUCGGUGACAAGCCUCUGCAUGUUUACGCCCUACAAUUGUAGAAUACUACGUAAUAUGGUGAAUCUAACACCUUGUCUUUCCAAGGUGGAGCGAUUACUGGAUUCUGUACUGGGGUCAAACCCUCUCAGACCUCCAUAAGAUUUCAGUUGUAGAUUUAGGGAAGGGGCCCUUUAGUUUCCCAUGCAUUUUCCUCUAACUCAAGAGUUUUCCUCCUUUGACUUACUGUGGAAGGC
Molecule: long non-coding RNA, 761 nt
Organism: Esox lucius (northern pike)
Lineage: Eukaryota; Metazoa; Chordata; Actinopteri; Esociformes; Esocidae
Exons: 3
Source: RefSeq, a predicted model, not a curated record